RNAcentral lists this ribosomal RNA (254 nucleotides) under uncultured bacterium. Its description in RNAcentral is "partial 16S ribosomal RNA". It matches the Rfam family "Bacterial small subunit ribosomal RNA", at positions 524 to 776 of the family's 1533-position model. The record is from RNAcentral.
UACGUAGGGGGCGAGCGUUGUCCGGAUUUAUUGGGCGUAAAGAGCUCGUAGGCGGCUUGGCAAGUCGGGUGUGAAACCUCCAGGCUCAACCUGGAGACGCCACUCGAUACUGCCAUGGCUAGAGUCCGGUAGGUGACCACGGAAUUCCUGGUGUAGCGGUGAAAUGCGCAGAUAUCAGGAGGAACACCGGUGGCGAAGGCGGUGGUCUGGGCCGGCACUGACGCUGAGGAGCGAAAGCGUGGGUAGCAAACAGG